GCCACAUGAUGUUACUAGACUUUUUGAGCACUCUGUGCAAAGAUGACACACAUCUAUCACCCAAGACUGAUGGCU
This is a small nucleolar RNA of Eublepharis macularius, 75 nucleotides long. RefSeq annotates it as small nucleolar RNA SNORD83. The record is from RefSeq and is a predicted model, not a curated record. The transcript has a single exon. Lineage: Eukaryota; Metazoa; Chordata; Lepidosauria; Squamata; Eublepharidae.